This 181-nucleotide non-coding RNA is filed under the name Lachnoclostridium sp. An138. RNAcentral describes it as "6S RNA". It matches the Rfam family "6S / SsrS RNA". Rfam says of the family: E. coli 6S RNA was the first non coding RNA to be sequenced, but its function was unknown until recently. Lineage: Bacteria; Bacillati; Bacillota; Clostridia; Lachnospirales; Lachnospiraceae. The record is from RNAcentral. RNAcentral also lists the same sequence under 1 other name.
UAAUUCCUGGGGUGUGCGUCAAACCGCUAUUUUGAACCUACAUUUACGUUUAUGGGAUUCCAAUAUCUCAGUCUGGAUGUCAGGCCUCCGAUUUUGCAGUGGAAGGCAGAAGGGCUGUUGAGGUCACCCACCUAGCUUUGGCUAGGCGUCAAAAUCGCGGAGACGGCAUUUUGGGUAUACU